Cajanus cajan (pigeon pea) is the source of this 1631-nucleotide long non-coding RNA. RefSeq lists it as uncharacterized. NCBI's taxonomy places the organism in Eukaryota, Viridiplantae, Streptophyta, Magnoliopsida, Fabales, Fabaceae. The record is from RefSeq and is a predicted model, not a curated record.
GUCACAAAGCUUGUAAAAUAUCACUUGCCAUAAAAGCUUGCUUUUCACUAUCUUCUUCAACCUCUUUGUUGAUUCUUAUUUGCAAGUAAAGAUUAAGUAGAUGUUCAUGCUGGUGACGAGGCUUUAACUUCUUUUUCUAUAGCUUUGUGUGUACCAUGUUUUGAUAACUAAUCACAUAUUAGGACUUGGACAUUAUUUGUUUUAGUUGUUUCUAUAUUUUUAUAUUUAAUUAUUUAGUUUGAAAUUUAUGUAUGGCUUGGUUACUUAAACAUUGUUAUUGGUUUUUCAUUUUAUAUAUUGGAUUCAUUUAACUAGAUUUAAAAUGAACAUUAUAACUUUGAACAUUGAUUAUAGAAUUUUGAGAAAAUCCCAUUGUUCUUUAUGUUUAAUUGUUAAAAUUCCUUUUUAUUUAUUAUAAUAAUUAUAUAGGAGCAAAGGGUAUUAUAUUUAGUAGUAUCAAAGUAAGUCAAUUUUUCUAGAUAAUGUAUUAUGUGUUUUCUAUGUUUUUCCAUGUAUACUCUAACCUGUUUUACUUUGUUUAUUUUGUUUUCAUCUUACCUUUUAUUUACUUAUUGUAUGAUCUCAAUAGAUUAAAGGAGUAAAUGGUUGGUAGGAAUGAUCGUGAAAUUGUUGAUGCUCUACAAGCCUUAACAUCGUUUGUGGGGAAUUAAAAUGAUGGGACCGUUGGUGGAUUAGUUUAAUAUAAUCGUUUGGAUUAACUUUUUAAGAAAAAAAUCCAUUUAUCUUCUAGGGGGUUAUGAUCUUGAUGGAGGUCAAAGUUAGGUGUGAAAAAUUGAGAAAAAUUUUGUGCGGUUGCAACAAGAUAAAAGGUGGCUCUUGACACCUUCAUGCUCUUUGAAGAGGCUAAGUAUUGGUGGAAACCAUAACUGAAAAGAGAUGGAGUUCUUGAAGAGGUACUUUCUCAUGGACAACCAUAACUGAAAAGAGAUGGAGUUCUUGGAGAUCAAAUAAGGGAACACGGCUAUAACGAAGUAUGCCAUAAAGUUUGAGGAAUUAUCAUGGUAUUUCUUUUACUAUAACCUUGAGAGGGGGAUAGAUCCAAGUGUGUUAAGUUCAUUAAUGGAUUGUGCAUGAAGAUCAAGCAAGUUGUUAACUAUUAUGGGAUUCACCAGUUUCUUAUACUGAAAAGGAUAAGAAGGCAAGGGCUGCACAUUAUAAAAGUGUAGGUCCAACUUGAGAAAAGUGAUAUAGAGCUUAGAAUGAUGAGAAGCCUUACAUUGCCCCUAACAAGUUAGUAGAGUAAAUGCUUUAGUAGACAUGAAUCUAGCAUUGGCUCUUUAGCUAGUGGUGGAAGUGAGGGAGCUUCUCUUUCUACCCCUACUAAGGUCUAAGAAGUGUGGUCAUGUUGAUGAUGAAGUUGAGGCUUAUCUUGAUAAGUAGGUGAUUUGUUUCAUUAGCUAGAAGCAAGAACACAUUAGUAUUCAUUAUCUUUAUUACAAGAAGGAACAUAAAAGUGGUGGUCAGAGCUCUCAAUAAGGACAAUUGUUAAAUAUUCAAAAUUAUCACUUUAGAAAUGAUUGUUAUGAUUAUCUUUAAUCAAAUCAAUCUAUUCUUUUUACUAUAUGACUUUUUAAACUAAACCCUUAAUUAUUGAAUCUUCUUGUUAUUAA